GCUCCGUAGGUGAACCUGCGGAGGGAUCAUUACAGAGUUCUCGCCCUCGCGGGUAGAUCUCCCACCCACUGUUAUCGUUACUGUGUUGCUUUGGCGGGCCGCCGGGCCCCGCUCGGCCGCCGGCUCCGGCUGGCGCGCGCCCGCCAGAGGCCCAGCAAACUCUGAAUGUUAGUGUCGUCUGAGUACUAUAUAAUAGUUAAAACUUUCAACAACGGAUCUCUUGGUUCUG
RNAcentral lists this unclassified non-coding RNA (229 nucleotides) under plant metagenome. RNAcentral's name for it is "partial contains small subunit ribosomal RNA, internal transcribed spacer 1, and 5.8S ribosomal RNA". The record is from RNAcentral.